This 258-nucleotide long non-coding RNA is filed under the name Homo sapiens (human). RNAcentral's name for it is "HSALNT0407647". Lineage: Eukaryota; Metazoa; Chordata; Mammalia; Primates; Hominidae. The record is from RNAcentral.
GGAAAGAAAGAAUGCUGCAGAAGAGAGCAGCUGGGUGCCUCAGCAAGAGAAGACUGAGCACACCAUGGUGGAUUUUCCUUAGGAGCAUCUAUGGACCUUACAGUGGGAGCUGAAUGCAGCAAUAGAAAACUGAUGUGUAUGCUUUGAAGACUAAAGCAAAGACGAAAGGUGCUGCCCAUUUAACCCUAAAAUUUUGAGAGGAAGCAACAAAACAUAAAAGAUCUCUGGAUCUCCAAUCUACUACUCUGUAAAUUAAUG